This 465-nucleotide ribosomal RNA is filed under the name Parvimonas sp. oral taxon 393. RNAcentral's name for it is "bacterial SSU rRNA". It matches the Rfam family "Bacterial small subunit ribosomal RNA", at positions 28 to 494 of the family's 1533-position model. The record is from RNAcentral. Lineage: Bacteria; Bacillati; Bacillota; Tissierellia; Tissierellales; Peptoniphilaceae.
GACGAACGCUGGCGGCGUGCUUAACACAUGCAAGUCGAACGUGAUUUUUGUGGAAAUUCUUUCGGGAAUGGAAGUAAAAUGAAAGUGGCGAACGGGUGAGUAACACGUGAGCAACCUACCUUACACAGGGGGAUAGCCGUUGGAAACGACGAUUAAUACCGCAUGAGACCACAGUAUCGCAUGAUAUAGGGGUCAAAGAUUUAUCGGUGUAAGAUGGGCUCGCGUCUGAUUAGCUAGUUGGAAGGGUAAAGGCCUACCAAGGCGACGAUCAGUAGCCGGUCUGAGAGGAUGAACGGCCACAUUGGAACUGAGACACGGUCCAAACUCCUACGGGAGGCAGCAGUGGGGAAUAUUGCACAAUGGGGGGAACCCUGAUGCGGCGACGCCGCGUGAGCGAAGAAGGUUUUCGAAUCGUAAAGCUCUGUCCUAUGAGAAGAUAAUGACGGUAUCAUAGGAGGAAGCCCC